UGCUUCGUGGUGUAGUGGUCAGCACGCUCGGCGCGUAUUUCGAGAGAUCCGUGGUUCGAGUCCCGGCGAGGCAU
Molecule: non-coding RNA, 74 nt
Organism: Stegodyphus mimosarum
Lineage: Eukaryota; Metazoa; Arthropoda; Arachnida; Araneae; Eresidae
Source: Rfam